This 253-nucleotide ribosomal RNA is filed under the name uncultured bacterium. RNAcentral's name for it is "partial 16S ribosomal RNA". It matches the Rfam family "Bacterial small subunit ribosomal RNA", at positions 524 to 776 of the family's 1533-position model. The record is from RNAcentral.
UACGGAGGGUGCAAGCGUUAUCCGGAUUCACUGGGUUUAAAGGGUGCGUAGGCGGGCAUUUAAGUCAGUGGUGAAAUACCUGAGCUUAACUUGGGAACUGCCAUUGAUACUAUUUGUCUUGAAUGUCGUGGAGGUUAGCGGAAUAUGUCAUGUAGCGGUGAAAUGCUUAGAUAUGACAUAGAACACCUAUUGCGAAGGCAGCUAACUACGCGAAUAUUGACGCCGAGGCACGAAAGCGUGGGGAUCAAACAGG